Long non-coding RNA from Lycium barbarum (goji berry), 1684 nucleotides. RefSeq lists it as uncharacterized. The record is from RefSeq and is a predicted model, not a curated record. Lineage: Eukaryota; Viridiplantae; Streptophyta; Magnoliopsida; Solanales; Solanaceae. The transcript is spliced from 2 exons.
AAUAAUAAUAAUAAUAAAUAUAUAUAUAUUUGUUUCUUUCUUUUCUUCUAAUUUGGGUUUAAUAAAUAAGCUAGUGGUUUUACUAUUCUUUGACUAUGAACUAGCUAUUUAAUUUUUGCUAUAUUUCAUUGGUCUAUAAAUGAUUAGCUAAUUUCUUAUUUUGUAUACUUUUAUCUUUGUUUAAAAUAAAUAAAUAAAAUAAAAUUAAAAAAAAAAAAAAACUGAAACAGCAAAAUCCUAAACUAUCACCCUCACGUCUCUUUCCCUUUAAUCCUAAACUACCCAUAACCUUCCCCAACUCCCCACUCCCUCACAUCUCCAUUUUUCAUGCGACACACACCCUCUCACGUAACACACACACACACACACAACGCAGCCCACAAAAAAUUAUAAAUACACACACAACACAACUACACGAGAAGAUGAGAAACAGGAGGGUAGAGAAAAAAAAAAAAAAAACUCAGAAGUAGAAGGAGAAAAAAAGCAACAGAGAGGAGUUAAAAAAAAAAAGCAGUGGAAGAAAGAGAAAGGGAGAUAGCAAAACAACGUAGAAGAAAGAAAAAGGAACAUAAGGAAAGAGAGAAAGAAAAACAACGUAAGCAGUAGAAAAAAAAAAGAACAACAAAAACAGUAGAAAAAAAAAAAGAUCAGAAGCAGUAGAAGAGAAAAACAAAAGAGAGUAAUUUCAGUAACAAAGAGCUUUGAGGGUUUACGAGUUCGAGAUUUGGAUUCCAUUCGUGGUUUGUGGUUCGAGCUCCUGUCACAGUUUUUUUUCCGGUUAGAUUGAGUCCGCCGGAGUUUGGUGUAAUCAAUUUCAUAUUAAAGAAGAUUCACACUAAGAGGCCAAAAUGAUACCGAUGAGAUGUGAUAAGAGGCCAAGAAAUGAAGCAGUUGAAGAAGUCAAUGAACCCCCAGAGUUUAUGAUUGCAGACAAAACCCCACCGCUACUCCUGGCUUGGUGGAACGAUAUGGGUCAUUAUCUACAGACCCCGAUAUUUAAACAUCUGGCAUUCCUCACAGAUAUUAUGAGAAUCAGCCCUUGAUGAGUCGUGAAAUUACGCGAUAUUCGACGCUAAUUCCUUAAGCUUUUGUGACUCCUUAAGCACUUUUGUUGUUACUUUUUGUGUUUUUAUGUUGUUUUGUAGGAAAAGAUGCCCGGAGAGCAUAAAAGAACAAAAUGGAUCAAAAUGGACCAAAAUGGAACAAAAUAGAGCAAAACAAGCCAAGUAGCUGAAAUGAGUGAUCGGAAGAAACCAAGUGAAAAGAAAGUCAAAAAGAGGUCAAACUGGACAUUUUUGCAAAACUGUCAAAACUGGACAGUUUUGCAAAAACGGGACAGAUUUGCAAAACAGUCAAAAGUGGACAGUUUUGCAAAAACGGGCAGAAUUGCAAAAACAGAAAUAUGGGGGCAGAUUUUGACAUUUUUUGGACUUGGAAAAAUUGGGGGGAGCUACAAAAGAGAGGCUAGGGCAAAACAUUUUCCAUCUUUGGUCAUUUUGCAAGUUUUGGAGGCUAGGGUUUUUCUACAAUAUUGGAGGAGAAGAUUGGAAACACUUCAAUGAGAUAUUUCUUAAUCCUUUCUUCAAUUCCUUGUUUUGUAUUGCAUAUCUAAGUGUGUAGUAUUUAUUCCAUUACUUGAAUCUUGAUUGUGAAACUAUUCUUGAUUAAAGUUUGGAUUGAAACU